This is an RNA transcript of Hevea brasiliensis (rubber tree), 4816 nucleotides long. It is a transcript of the gene named putative disease resistance RPP13-like protein 1, with no coding region annotated. The transcript has 3 exons. Lineage: Eukaryota; Viridiplantae; Streptophyta; Magnoliopsida; Malpighiales; Euphorbiaceae. The record is from RefSeq and is a predicted model, not a curated record.
CAUCCUUUUCCUCAUUUUUUUUAUAUUUUAUUUUUUUUAUGCACAAUCUAGACCAUUAUUGAGGGUAAGUCAACUUCAACGCCAAAACACAGGAGUGCUCAGAUUUCACUGGAAAUUUUACAAAAUUUCUUGUCUUUUGAACGAGUGUUCAUCAUUUAGAAGUCCUGAAAGCCAGCCAAAAACUCAUUUGUGCCAAGACUUGAGAGCAUGUCUGUGGUUGGACAAGCAGUUCUAUCUGCUUUCUUUCGAGUUUUGUUUAACAGAUUGGCUUCUCCUGAAUUGCUCAAGUAUGCACGCCAGGAGCAAGUUUACGCUGAAUUCAAGAAAUGGGAGAAAAUACUGAUCAAAAUACAUGCAGUGCUUGAUGAUGCAGAAGAGAAGCAGCUGACUAACCAGUUUGUGAAGAUUUGGUUAGCUGAGCUUAGAGACCUGGCUUAUGAUGUGGACGACAUACUGGAUGAAUUCACCACAGAGGCUAUUCAACGUGGAUUGAUUGUUGAACCAGAAGCCAGCACAAGCAAGCUCCACAAGCUUAUCCAGACUUGCACCAGCCUAAUUCCAACCAAUACUGCGUUCAGAAUUAGGAUGGGAUCCAAGAUGAAAGGGAUCACUACUAGAUUGGAAGAAAUUUCCAGUCAUAAAAAUGACCUGGAUUUGAGAGAAAAUUUGGAAGGGAACUCCAACAAAGUAAGAAAAAGACUUCCCACAACUUGUUUGGUGAAUGAAUCUCAAGUUCUUGGAAGGGAAAGAGAUAAAGAGGACGUACUUGAGUUAUUGAUGAGGGAUUAUGUAUGUGACAGCAAAAUCUGUGUAAUAGCAAUAGUAGGCAUGGCUGGGGUAGGCAAGACUACCCUUGCACAACUUAUCUACAAUGAUAACCAAGUGAAUGAUUGUUUUGAUCUAAAGGUGUGGGCUUGUGUAUCUGAUGAUUUUGAUGUUUUAAGCACAACGAAAACAAUUCUUGAGUCACUCACUCACAGGACCUUCGGCUGCAAUUUAAAUUUGCUUCAGGGUAGACUACAAGGUAUACUAACAGAUAAGAAGUUUCUGCUUGUUCUAGAUGAUGUUUGGAAUGAAAACUACCAUAACUGGGAAGUCCUUUGCAGUCCUUUUAGAAGGGGAGCACCAGGGAGUAAAAUAGUUGUCACAACUCGCAAUGAAGGUGUUGCAUCAAUCAUGGGAUCUGUUGCAGCUUACCGCCUCAAGGAGUUGCCAUAUGAUAGUUGUUUGCCUUUGUUCACUCAACUGGCAUUGGGAACUAAUAGCUUUGAUGCUCAUCCGAACCUCAAAGCAAUUGGUGAAGGAAUAGUGGGAAAAUGUAAAGGCCUACCUUUGGCAGCUAAGACACUAGGUAGUCUGUUGCAAACUAAAGGCAGCCAGGAUGAAUGGGAGGAUAUAUUGCACAGCAAAAUAUGGGACUUACCAGAAGAGCAAAGCAUUAUUCUUCCUGCACUAAGAUUGAGCUACCACCAUUUGCCCUCUCAUUUGAAGCAGUGCUUUGCUUACUGCUCAAUUUUCCCAAAGGACUAUGAGUUCAGCAAGGAGGAGUUAAUUCUUUUAUGGAUGGCAGAAGGUUUCCUGCAACAACCAAAAGGAACAAAACGCAUGGAAAAUUUGGGAGCGAAGUACUUUGAUGAUCUACUGUCAAGAUCAUUAUUUCAACAAUCAAGCAGAAAUGAGUCACUAUUUGUAAUGCAUGAUCUCAUCAAUUAUCUAGCUCAGUAUGUCGCUGGAGAAGUCUGCUUCAGGUUGGAGGAUAGGCUAGAGAGCGUGCAGAAAGCUCGUCAUGUGUCUUACAUUCGUCAUCGAUAUGAAGUCUUCAAAAAAUUUGAGGUACUAUACAAAGCUCAAAGCUUGCGGACUUUCUUACCGCUACCAGUUCACAUGGGACUUGGUAUUCGCAAUUUUUAUUUGACAAGGAAAGUAACAGAUGAGUUGCUGCCGAAGCUAAGAUGUUUAAGGGUGCUGUCCUUGAGCGGCUAUUGCAUAAGUGUGCUACCAAAUGUGAUUGGCAAGUUAAAACAUUUACGUUACCUUGAUUUAUCUCAUACUUUGAUCAAAACCUUGCCUGAGUCUGUGAGUGCUCUCUGCAAUUUACAAACGCUAAUCUUACAUGGUUGUGGUGCGCUUUCAAAUUUGCCUGCAGGCAUUGUGAACCUCAUUAAUUUGCGUCAUCUAGACAUUACUAAUACAAAACAACUGCUAGAGCUGCCCUUAAGGAUGGGUAAACUGACAAACUUGAGGACAUUGUCUAAAUUUGUGGUGGGGAAAGGCAAUGGAUCAAAGGUAACAGAGUUGAGGGACUUGUUGCGUCUCCGUGGGCAACUAGCCAUUACUGGGUUGCAUAAUGUGGCAAACAUUUAUGAAGCUGGGGAAGCAAACUUACAGUACAAGCAGGAUCUUCAAGAGUUAGUCAUGGAAUGGAGCAGCAAUAUUGAACUCCAAAAUGAAAGUGAUGACAGAAAGGAAAUGGAUGUACUUGACAUGUUGCAACCUCAUAAAAACUUGAAGGUGCUGAAAAUUGAAUUCUAUGCAGGCAAGUCAUUUCCGAGUUGGAUUGGGCAUUCUUCAUUCUCCAAACUCAAAAGCUUGACUCUCAAAAGUUGUGCUAAAUGCUCAUCAUUGCCAUCACUUGGGAAAUUGCCCUUUCUUGCAGAUUUAUGCAUUGAAGGCAUGCGUAGUGUGAAAACUGUAAGUCUUGAAUUCUAUGGGGAAGAUUUCACUCUCACACCUUUUCCAUCCUUGAAGAUAUUAACAUUUUGUGAUAUGCUAGAAUGGGAGGAUUGGUCUACAAUUGCAGAAGAAGCUUUUGACAGUGAAUUCCCCUGCCUCUGCGAGCUUCGCUUGAGGAAUUGUCCUAAGUUGAUACGGAGAUUGCCAAACAACCUACCCUCGCUUGUAAAACUUGACAUUAAUAAAUGCCCAUUAUUGGAAGUUCAGCUUCCCAAACUUUCGUCUCUCUGUGACUUGAGUUUGGAAGAAUGCAAUGAGGUUGCAGUAAGUAGUGUAGCGGAUCUCACCUCAUCUUCACUCACUACCUUGCAACUUCGGAACAUUUCAAACGUUAGCCAAUUGCCUGUGCAAUGCUCACUAGCACUUAAAGUUAUGCAUAUUAUUAAUUGCAGUGAACUGACAACUUUAAGGCAGAUUGAAGAUCAAUUGCUGCCCAGUAGACUUGAGCAAUUAGAACUAUGCAACUGCAGUAACUUGAAAGAACUGCCAGAUAGGUUCUUCAGCUUCACAUCACUUGCAGACUUGAAGAUCAAACGAUGCCCAAAACUUGUGUCUUUCCCAAAGUUGGGGUCUCCAUUCAUGCUUAGACAUCUCAUUAUUGAAGAAUGUGAAUCUUUGGAAUGCCUACCUGAUGGAAUGAUGACGCAUACAAAUACAAGAAGUGGAAGCAACAACAUUUCCCAUCUUGAGAGUUUGGAAAUCAUUAAAUGUCCAUCGCUCAAAUCUUUCCCUAGAGGUCAGUUACCAACCAGCCUAAAGGUACUCAAGAUUUGGGAUUGCAUGCAGUUGGAAUCACUUCCUGGAAUGAUAUUGCAGAACACCGAGUCACUUGAGUGCUUUAGUGUGAGGAAAUAUUCAAAUUUGAAGACCUUACCUGAGUGCUUUGAUCGCCUCACUCAUCUUAUUGAACUGCACAUAAGCUAUUGUGCAAGUCUAGAGUUGUUCCCAGAAACAGGCCUACCUGCUUCAAACCUGACAAGGUUUUAUGUUUUCAAUUGUCCAAAUCUUAGAUCCCUACCUGAAAACAUGCAUAGCCUCACAGCACUCCAACAUUUAGGAAUAUCUAGUUGUCCAGGUCUGGUGUCAUUUCCUGAAGGUGGGUUGCCUUCCAACCUAAAAUCAAUCCGGAUCAAUAAUUGUGAGAAUCUCCCACAUCUAUCUGAGUGGGGAUUACACAGAAUCCUGACACUCAAGGAUUUAACUAUUUCUGGUGGAUGGCCAAAUUUGGCGUCUCUUGCACAAGAGUGUUGGCUUCCUGCAUCUCUAACAUAUCUUCGAAUUGGAAAGCUCAUCAAUCUAGAGUCCUUAUCCUUAAGGCUAGAACACCUCUCCUCACUUGAGGUACUAGAGAUUACAGAAUGUCCGAAGGUGCAUUCCUUACCAAAGGAAGGGUUGCCUCCAACUCUUUCUAUCCUAGAAAUUUUGGACUGCCCUAUUCUGAAAAGGAAGCUGUUGAAGAAGAAAGGAAGAUAUGCAUCCAUUAUAGCCAAUGUACCUCGUGUGGCGAUAGAUGAUGUGUUGCUGCAAUAAACAACAGGCAUGAUAAGUUCUGUACUCCAAAAGAAAAGAGGAAUGGCUGCUUCUCAAAGCUUCCUUAUGUUCAAGAAUGGAUCUGCACAUCAUUGACAGUGCAGAUUACGGUGCAUUCUCCCAUUAUAAAGAUCAUCAUCUUUAGCAUACACUAGAGAAACCCAAGCUUGGUCAAGAAUCUCCACUCUUUACCCACUGGAGCAGAAAUAAAUGGAUAAUGAAGAGGUUGUCUGUUUCCUGUGGCGGCAAGUUGAUCAACUAGAAGAGCAUACCCAUUUGACUAAACUAUGUAACAGCAUUCAGCACUUACUUUUCUUGGACAGUAUUUUUAAUUUUUUAUUAUUAAAAAAAAUAAAAAUAUUAAAAAAAUUAUUUUAAUAUGAACAAGGGUAAAUGUCCCCACCUAAGUUAAACUAUCAACAAGGGUAAAUGUUUGUAGAUCAGCCAGAGUUGUCCCACCUGAGUUAAACUAUCAACAAGGGUAAAUUUCCCUGAUAUCCUCUGUAGAUGAUAUUUUCAAACCCAUGAUUACUUGAAGAAUUCAGUGUUCGUA